UGGGUAACCUGCCUGUAAGACUGGGAUAACUCCGGGAAACCGGAGCUAAUACCGGAUAGUUCCUUGAACCGCAUGGUUCAAGGAUGAAAGACGGUUUCGGCUGUCACUUACAGAUGGACCCGCGGCGCAUUAGCUAGUUGGUGAGGUAACGGCUCACCAAGGCGACGAUGCGUAGCCGACCUGAGAGGGUGAUCGGCCACACUGGGACUGAGACACGGCCCAGACUCCUACGGGAGGCAGCAGUAGGGAAUCUUCCGCAAUGGACGAAAGUCUGACGGAGCAACGCCGCGUGAGUGAUGAAGGUUUUCGGAUCGUAAAGCUCUGUUGUUAGGGAAGAACAAGUGCAAGAGUAACUGCUUGCACCUUGACGGUACCUAACCAGAAAGCCACGGCUAACUACGUGCCAGCAGCCGCGGUAAUACGUAGGUGGCAAGCGUUGUCCGGAAUUAUUGGGCGUAAAGGGCUCGCAGGCGGUUUCUUAAGUCUGAUGUGAAAGCCCCCGGCUCAACCGGGGAGGGUCAUUGGAAACUGGGAAACUUGAGUGCAGAAGAGGAGAGUGGAAUUCCACGUGUAGCGGUGAAAUGCGUAGAGAUGUGGAGGAACACCAG
This 608-nucleotide ribosomal RNA is filed under the name Bacillus sp. N-QH-1502. Its description in RNAcentral is "bacterial SSU rRNA". It matches the Rfam family "Bacterial small subunit ribosomal RNA", at positions 118 to 712 of the family's 1533-position model. Lineage: Bacteria; Bacillati; Bacillota; Bacilli; Caryophanales; Bacillaceae. The record is from RNAcentral.